Nymphaea colorata (pocket water lily) is the source of this 1469-nucleotide long non-coding RNA. RefSeq lists it as uncharacterized. NCBI's taxonomy places the organism in Eukaryota, Viridiplantae, Streptophyta, Magnoliopsida, Nymphaeales, Nymphaeaceae. The record is from RefSeq and is a predicted model, not a curated record. The transcript is spliced from 3 exons.
UCUAUCAGGGUCAGGGUUUCCCCUUUUCGCCUGAAGCUAAGAAGGGAAACCACAGACAGAAGGUGGGGCGCCCACUGCCUCCCACCCAUGAUGAUGGGGUGAACGAUGGUGGUGGGCGAUCACUCCUCAGUCCUUGUUCUUUGAUGGGUGGGAGAGCCAUGGGCGGAGGCCGGUCAGAUGGUGGCGCCUCCUGAUUUUGUCCCUGGUUGCAGAAGGAGCAUUGAUUUCGUGGCUACUGGCGGUGUUCCUUGCACCACCACCAGCCGGCAAUGGGAACGGCGAUGUCUGCUGCACUUCUCCUUGCGCACCCAAAGUGACGGGAAGACCUGAUGCCGACGACACUCCCUUCGUCGGGCAGGACAUCAUCAUCUGCUGACCGGUGGGCAAGGUCGAAUCCAUGGCUAUCGUUCCUGCCUAAUAAUGGGAAGAAGAUACACCUCCUCCAGGUGAGUGCAGGGGAACUCUGGCGGGAAGCCUUGACAUCUGAUAUGGUUCGCCGACCAGCAAUGGAGCUCCAGCAGGAAUCCCAUCAAAUGUGGUUUGCCUAGAGUCACAAUUCAAGAUUCCUCCUAAAAUCCACUGUUCGCCUCCUUCAGCUUCCGAUGAGAAGAUGGUGUGACUAUCGUUUACAACAAGAAGCGUGUGAAAACUUUGUGCGUUCUACAAAAUCGAACAGAACAUCCAUCUGAACUCGUCAAACUUUUGAGUGAUGGAAUCGAUCUUCCUAGUUGUAGCAACAAGAUCCUGUCUGAUGUGAGCGAUUACACAAUCGUGUUUUGCUAGGGGCUGUUGGGAUUCCAAGGCUGAAGUCUCAUGAUCUGCAUUAAAGUGCAAAGGCGGAACCUGAGGCGAGGAACUGGAACAAGGAGAGUGAUGGAUCUGGUCUUACUCUGCAUCAAGGCCUCUUCAAAUUGAAGCUCAAAUUUCUUGAAUUUUCCUUUAUGUCCAACUUGGAGGCUGAAGGCCUUUGGGCUUGCAUUUUUGUCAUGUAGAGGGAUUCCAUGGUCUUGCUAAUUUCGGCUCAAGCUCACAAAUGUUGGGCGGAUGGACUUGCAAACUGGGAGGAUGAUUGGUGGAGGCCAUUAACAAGGGAAUGUCUAUUUUUUGUCCGAGCCCGUGGGUGCAGCUGCUACCUCAAUCCCUUCCAAACCUACCAAGCUUCAGUGGCAUCUCAGACUUGGGCAUCCAUCGGUGUCAAAACUUUGUUGAUUGUUUCCUUAACUUUCUAUGUGCGAAGCCUGUCAAUUUGGGAACCACAUUAGUAGUUUUCCAUUGAGUCUAUUACUUCAUGUCAAUGUGUGAGGGCCUAGACAUACAGCUAGAAGGUCUAAAUUUUGGUAUUAUCCUGUCAUAGUUGAUGAUUUCUCUUAUGUUAGUUGGGUUCUCCUGUUGAAGGAAUGCUCUGCAAUUAUAUGUAUCCUUCAAAAUCUUAUUAUUGAAAUAAGGACUCAAUCUGGAGUUUUUUUUAA